CGUAGGCAGCAAGCGUUGUUCGGAGUUACUGGGCGUAAAGAGUAUGUAGGCGGUUGGGUAAGUUUGGUGUGAAAUCUCCCGGCUUAACUGGGAGGGUGCGCUAAAGACUGCCUGGCUUGAGUGUGGGAGAGGAAAGCGGAAUUCCUGGUGUAGCGGUGAAAUGCGUAGAUAUCAGGAGGAACACCUGCGGUGUAGACGGCUUUCUGGACCAUAACUGACGCUGAGAUACGAAAGCGUGGGUAGCAAACAGGAUUAGAUACCCUGGUAGUCCACGCCCUAAACGAUGCAUACUUGGUGUUGGCCAUUCACUUGGUCAGUGCCGGAGCUAACGCGUUAAGUAUGCCGCCUGGGGAGUACGGUCGCAAGGCUG
RNAcentral lists this ribosomal RNA (370 nucleotides) under uncultured organism. RNAcentral describes it as "bacterial SSU rRNA". It matches the Rfam family "Bacterial small subunit ribosomal RNA", at positions 526 to 896 of the family's 1533-position model. The record is from RNAcentral.